AAAAAUUGAAAUUUGCAAAGACUAGAAGGGCAUUUAGAUGGACAUAUAUACUGGUUUAUACAUUUUGUGGGCGCAUGUGAAAAGAAUGUUACACUGUCUAUAAAAUUCAAUAUAAAAGAAUUGAUAUGGAUGUGGAGGAGCUGGAUAUUAGGCAAGGAUCCAUGUAGCCGACCCCAUUUAGUUGGGAUA
Telopea speciosissima is the source of this 189-nucleotide long non-coding RNA. RefSeq lists it as uncharacterized. Lineage: Eukaryota; Viridiplantae; Streptophyta; Magnoliopsida; Proteales; Proteaceae. The record is from RefSeq and is a predicted model, not a curated record. The transcript is spliced from 3 exons.